Molecule: ribosomal RNA, 253 nt
Filed under: uncultured bacterium
Lineage: Bacteria
Description: partial 16S ribosomal RNA
Rfam family: Bacterial small subunit ribosomal RNA
Source: RNAcentral
UACGAAGGGGGCUAGCGUUGCUCGGAAUGACUGGGCGUAAAGGGCGCGUAGGCGGACUGUACAGUCAGGCGUGAAAUUCCUGGGCUUAACCUGGGGGCUGCGCAUGAGACGUAGGGUCUGGAGUGCGGAAGAGGGUCGUGGAAUUCCGGGUGUAGUGGUGAAAUGCGUAGAGAUCCGGAGGAACCCCAGAGGCGAAGGCGGCGCCCUGGCUCGCAACUGACGCUCAGACACGACAGCAUGGGGAGCGAACGGG